This is a non-coding RNA of Microcebus murinus (gray mouse lemur), 596 nucleotides long. NCBI's taxonomy places the organism in Eukaryota, Metazoa, Chordata, Mammalia, Primates, Cheirogaleidae. The record is from RefSeq and is a predicted model, not a curated record.
GUGCAGCGCGGCCCCUAAGAGGUUACCGGUCCACGCGCUCAGCCCGCGGCCCGCACCGGGCGGGUGGGCACCGCACGAACAGCAGCGCCGCGAAAACGGCCGAUUUAGCACAAAACAGAAUGCGGGGAACGCGGGGGCGGCAUAAGAGACAGGGUUUAAGCUGACGACCGGACCCUCCGCAGGAGGACGCCCGCGACUCCGCGUGGGGCUCCGGAGCCACCCGAGCUCGGGGCAAGAAAACCCAGGCUGAAAGAGGACACACUAGCAAGCAGCAGAGAAGGGACAGCGUCUGACUCCAUAGACUACAAGCCACCCGCAUGGCCCACUGCUGCUCCCAACGCUCCCUAGUGGAAACCUUGGAGCAUUGGACCAGUCUGGGAAGAGGAAGAGCCUUGGAGGGAGAGAGCAAGCUGGGGUGCGCAGCUGGGGAGAGGGACAGAGAUCCAGUCCAGGAAGACAGAAGAACUCUGGAGAUGAAUGGGGGUGACGGUUACAAAAGAUUGUACAUAAUGCCGCUGAACUGUGCACUGAAAAUGGUUAAAAUGGCAAUUCUGUACAUAUUUUAUCACAAUAAAAGAUAAGAAUGGUAGAAAAUA